Molecule: long non-coding RNA, 770 nt
Organism: Mauremys reevesii (Reeves's turtle)
Lineage: Eukaryota; Metazoa; Chordata; Testudines; Geoemydidae
Exons: 4
Source: RefSeq, a predicted model, not a curated record
GAAAUCUAAAGACUCCCUGACCCAAAGGGUUGAUAAUGUAAAGUAAUCAAUAUAGCAGCUCAAUGCCCUGCCCUACAUUUCAGCAGGUACAGGUAAUUCAGGUUCUCCAGCUGUUCAAAUGCCUCCUCUGGAAGCCCUUCAAACAACAGGAAUGAUUUACAGUCAACGCCCUUUGUGAAUGAGAAUGCUAGAGGGACUUUUUGUCUCCCAAAAGGAUAGCUAUAAUUUUCUUUUAAAGCAAUUGAGGAGCUGGAACAAGGAGCGGAAUAAAGACCAUGUGACUGGGCAGUGCCAUACCAACUACAGUUUGAGAACCAUGGCAUUAUUGUUUCAACUUGUCUCAAGAAUGGAUACCCCGGGACCCCUGUGGCUGCAGGCGUAGCAGCAUCAGCUGAACUAGCCCUGGCUACUGUAAGGAUUCAGCAUUGGAGACAAUGUGAUCUAGGGUCUACUGCAUGUUCCAGCCAGUUCCAAACAGGAGAGGUCAUGGAACAGCCUUUCUGGGACAGCUAGCUCGUAUUGAUACUGCUCCUUCAAGAUCCAAACAUGAUGGGUUGUCGCCCUUAAUAUGACAUAAUUACUCCAUUCAGCUCUGACAAUCAGUGCUUCUCUUUUGAGUUCGGAAACAAGAAUAUCUCAUAGCCAGGUUUUCAGAUGGUGUGAACUGGGAGACCAGCUGUUUUCGAGCAAGUCAGAAUCUGGCCCUCAGACGCAUUGGGGUUGUCUCUGUUGCAAUUAAACACCCAUGGCUGGCCCGGGUCAGCUGUCUA